GGAUAAUCUGGCUGUGAUAUUUGUCACCUCAUGGAUAACUAAGACUGAUUCAAUUGACUGGCUGGCCAGGUGGGCAUCUUCUCCUCACAGUCCAUGUGCAGCCCUCCUGAAGCUUUGUGCUGAGUUGAAAGGCUCAUUUCCGGUGAAGGAUUCUUCAGCCAAGGAUGAUCCAGUGGCUGUCCUCCACUGUCAAAAUCUCCAAACCCACUCUCAUGGUCCCACAUUUAAAAUAGAAAAUAGACUCUGAAGUCUUAUAAAAGUAAUUAUCAAAUGAUCACU
Molecule: small nuclear RNA, 279 nt
Filed under: Ochotona princeps (American pika)
Lineage: Eukaryota; Metazoa; Chordata; Mammalia; Lagomorpha; Ochotonidae
Description: 7SK RNA (ENSOPRG00000022458.1)
Rfam family: 7SK RNA
About the family: 7SK was discovered as an abundant small nuclear RNA in the mid-70s but a possible function has only recently been suggested.
Source: RNAcentral